This 253-nucleotide ribosomal RNA is filed under the name uncultured bacterium. RNAcentral describes it as "partial 16S ribosomal RNA". It matches the Rfam family "Bacterial small subunit ribosomal RNA", at positions 524 to 776 of the family's 1533-position model. The record is from RNAcentral.
UACAGAGGUCUCAAGCGUUGUUCGGAUUCAUUGGGCGUAAAGGGUGCGUAGGCGGCGCGGUAAGUCGGGUGUGAAAUCUCGGAGCUUAACUCCGAAACUGCAUUCGAUACUGCCGUGCUUGAGGACUGGAGGGGGGACUGGAAUUCUCGGUGUAGCAGUGAAAUGCGUAGAUAUCGAGAGGAACACCAGUGGCGAAGGCGAGUCCCUGGACAACUUCUGACGCUGAGGCACGAAAGCUAGGGGAGCAAACAGG